Pseudoliparis swirei is the source of this 954-nucleotide long non-coding RNA. RefSeq lists it as uncharacterized. The record is from RefSeq and is a predicted model, not a curated record. The transcript is spliced from 6 exons. Lineage: Eukaryota; Metazoa; Chordata; Actinopteri; Perciformes; Liparidae.
AGCGCCGGUGUGCGAGUUACUUUAAGGCUUUGCAGAAACCUGGCAAUGAAUUAUUCUGGCUGAGUUCUAUCACUUAUCAAGCAAAAAUCAGAGUUGCAAGCAGAGUUCAAAGAUCUUAACACUCACUUGCUUCCUGGAGAUUUUUUCAAGACCCAAGGGGGGGAAAGUGUCGGACAGAAACUUGAUGAAUAUCUGCAACAAGUCACACCAGGGAGUACAGAUGUGAAUGGGAGGUGAACAGCAGUCCUCCGUGGCCUUCCUGUCAUCCUUGGAGACGACAACGCAGACUUCUUCAAGACUUUCGCUGCACAUACAUGGAGUCCAUGGACGGAAGUUGUGAUCCUCUCCGCAGUCCUUAUGACUCUUUGCAGAGCCUUCCUCAAUGCCUGUGUGAUGUUUCCAUACCACACAGUGAUGCCUGCGGACUCUGAUGACCUUCUGGACGUGUCCCACACCUCCAUUGGGACCCUGACGGUGCUGAAGACAUUGUGGCCUCACCUCACUCGCUGCACCUGGAGUCUACAGCUACUGCCGUCGUUUUGGGAGGAACAGUCGUGAUGGGUGACCGUGAUCAUCUUGCCCAUGCCAUGUGGCUACUUCUCAGACUUACUUACCCCUGAAUUUGGAGAACCCUCAACGAGUGAGGAACACCUUCUGAAUUUAUUCAAAGAGUGCUUCUCACUUUGACUGAAAACCCUAAAAUACAAUCACUCAAACAUCUACUGAUGCCGUAAGGGGAUGUGCAGGGUCAGGCCCCUUCUAUCUCCAAUAUAACUCUUUUAUAGAAAAUGUCUGUUUAUUUGGUUGUUUUUCUGUAGUGCAAUUUAGCAAAUGACAAAAAUGCUGUGUUCAUAUUUCUGCGUUACAAAACCUAAUCUGGCAACAUGUCCAGCGUUUUAAGCAUGUUUGAGUUUAAGAACAUGUGUUUUUCUUCUAAAUAAAUAUUGUCUUCCA